RNAcentral lists this ribosomal RNA (524 nucleotides) under uncultured bacterium. RNAcentral's name for it is "bacterial SSU rRNA". It matches the Rfam family "Bacterial small subunit ribosomal RNA", at positions 355 to 896 of the family's 1533-position model. The record is from RNAcentral.
UGGGGAAUAUUGGACAAUGGACCAAAAGUCUGAUCCAGCAAUUCUGUGUGCACGAUGACGUUUUUCGGAAUGUAAAGUGCUUUCAGUUGGGAAGAAAAAAAUGACGGUACCAACAGAAGAAGUGACGGCUAAAUACGUGCCAGCAGCCGCGGUAAUACGUAUGUCACAAGCGUUAUCCGGAUUUAUUGGGCGUAAAGCGCGUCUAGGUGGUUAUGUAAGUCUGAUGUGAAAAUGCAGGGCUCAACUCUGUAUUGCGUUGGAAACUGCAUGACUAGAGUACUGGAGAGGUAAGCGGAACUACAAGUGUAGAGGUGAAAUUCGUAGAUAUUUGUAGGAAUGCCGAUGGGGAGGCCAGCUUACUGGACAGAUACUGACGCUAAAGCGCGAAAGCGUGGGUAGCAAACAGGAUUAGAUACCCUGGUAGUCCACGCCGUAAACGAUGAUUACUAGGUGUUGGGGGUCGAACCUCAGCGCCCAAGCUAACGCGAUAAGUAAUCCGCCUGGGGAGUACGUACGCAAGUAUG